UGGUCGACCGGUUCCCCUCCCCGGUGGCCUCGGCGCGGCUCUUCCCCUCGCCCGGCUCCGUCAAGCUGCUACCGGAGUCCCUCCUUCGUGGUACCUUCACCGACAAGAAAAGCGAAAAGCGGGUCUCACCAGUGCCACGGGUGCUUUCACCGCAUUAAGAGGGCUUCUCCCCCCCCCCCCCAUCGAGGCAAAGUCUGUUCUGGGAUUUGUGGAUCAGUGCUCUCAGGCAUUUCAUAAGGUAUUUUUAACCUAUUGCAAAGUCCGGCAGCACUCGAGGGUGGAAAUAACACCAAAACUUCAGCAUAGGGAUGGCCCGCUAUCACAUACACCAGCCCUGCACGCCCAUACACCAUUAGGAGUCCUGCUGCCACUGCCUGCUAGUCUUUAAAUUUUCAAACUCAGUUCAAAACCCCAGACCAGGGGAAGGACUCACAGAGGUUUGGACCCUAGACUCUUGGAACAAGUUUCAAAUUCCAGCAGCCUUCUGUUUUUCCAAGACAGAUAAACUAAGUGGCUUGCUGAAUACUGCAUGUGUUUUCAGGCAAGAUCUGGAAAACAGCAGGUCUUUCCUCAGAAAGGACAUUAAACAUCCUGUGACAUUUUUCAUGAGAACUAAGAUAAAAUUGGAUCUUUUCUUACGGUUCCCAAACACUGUUGCUGGACAAGAGCUGCUUGGUUCUUGUCGUUCCCCCAGGACCUUGCUGGCUUUCAGUGCUGCUAUAAAGAGCAAGUGCAAAGCUCCCAGGAGUGUGCAAGCAGAGCAUUUGGAGAGUGACAGGGAGACAUUUGCUAUGCUGGUCUUCAGGAUAAGUUAAAAAUCCUUCAAGAUGACAGAGCUACUCUGUGCAGUACAGCCAGCCACACAGGACAGCCAGGAGAGACUCAUACUUCACCUUUUUCUGCACACCAUGGGAUGAAGCUGAACACUGGGCAGCCCACAUCACCUAUGCACAUCUUCCCUAGCAGUACACCUCUCCUACAGCAUGGCAGCUCACAGCUGCUCGAGAGAAAAGGAGCUACUUUUCCCUACCAUCUGUGUCAGUAACAAAAGCUUGUCCUUGAAUGAGAAAAAAGUGCAUCUCUUACUUUCUCGGUGAGUUUUUUAUUUUUUCCUCUCUUUUUUUAUAUUUUGGAAAGAUUUUUAAUCUUACGUGGAUUAAACUAUACUUCACGUUGAAAGAUUUUGUCAAAAUACACUGCUAACAUAGUUGCAAUGCACUUCAUUUGAACUGCAUAACGCUGCAAGAUAAUAGCUCUGAACAACGUGUGCAUUGAGCUACCGGUCAAGUGAUUGGGGAUCUCACCAUCACAGCAAACUUCCUCUGCAAGUCUGGUUGGCAGCAUCUCAGUGACAACUCAUCAGCAGUGGGAAUGACAGCGGUUAUCUGUGUUGGGUGGUGACAUCGUCUGGGUCAACAACAGGUAAUGUAUCUCUGUGGUGUGGAAAGGAUAUUGCCAGAGUGCCACAGAACCAUGUGUAUUUGACAUAUUUGGGAUAUGCAGAGACGCAGUAACACCACUCACACCCUGCCGACCUGCCGUUGGCACUACAACAACUUUAAAACGCUUUUGUGCUGUUUAAUUUUUAUAUAAAUUAAUUUUAAGCACUGAAGUAUCCUAAGCUAGAUAUCCAAAACAACAUUCAUGACUUCAUUUGGUUCUUGGAGCAACACUCUUAACAGUAAUAGAAAUACAAGGUUUUAGGUUACAUGCAUGUUUUACACAUUCGUGACAGGCUUCCUUUUGUCGCUGCUAGAACAGCUUUUUCUCAUGCAAGUUUCAGCUGCUGACACCAGAUAAAUGACCCAUUGCAUGGCUCCAUUUAGCCAUUUGACAAGCAACAGAAUAGGAGUCACCUGUAAUGGCCUUAAUCCCUCCAAAGUUGCAGGACUAUGCAUGUUGCUUUCUUUAGAAGUGCUGUAAUCAAGAUAUGAAAGGAGCACAUGCCCUCACCUGGAGUGCCUGACCAGGCAAAGAAAACACAGUCAGGAAAGGACUUGUUUUGGUUUGUUUCCUAUGCAAACAAGAGUAAUACUUUUGCACUCUUUUACACUUUGCAGAACAUAAAAAUAAACAAAGUACAAUACUGUGGAAUUUAACAGGUAAAAUAAGUUUUUACAGUUUGGAGGAUGGUUAGGUGCCAUGGUACAGUUGAUGAAUGGCCUUCCUACGCUAUGUAUUAAGUUGAACCUUUAUAUACAAAUAUCUGUUGUAAACUGAAAACCUCAUUACCCUCAUUCCACUGCCCUCCUCUCCCAUCUCCCUGUUACAGCCAGCCAAAGUACAGGAGUAUGCUGUAAUGGCAUGCUCAGAGCAACAUUUCCAGAUCUGGCCCCUAAUAUUUGGAUCUACAACAUUUGGCAUCCUAUAGCCAAGGGAACAGAGGUUCCAUGGCAUCUCUAGAAAUGAAGCCAAAGAUAGGAGGAACUAUAGUCCCUAUGGUUCCCUCCAUCACCCAAAUGCAGCUACAGUCCAGAUAUUGCUGACUCUAAGGGAAGAAAGUAAAGUACCCACCACUUGUGAGCUCCUUUCUGGAGGUGAAGGCAAGCUCUGCUUCUUACCGACAUAAAGGGCUUCAGAAAGGGAUCAAGAGACUGUGAUGAAAUCCUUAAAAUAUGUGGUUGUAUAAGUCAUAUAUGUAACCUGGGAUAGAAAAUUAUUAUUCCACAGCCUCCUCACUUUUUCAUGGACACUAGCAAUUCCUGGAACAUCAGACCAUCAUAUGGCAUCAGACCAAAAAAUGCUUUUAAAAUCAGCCAGUUUCUAAUGACACUCAAAACUAGAUGUGGGUAUGUCUUUCAACCUAUUGAGUGCAUCAUCUUCCAGAAUCUUUGGAAAUUUUGGCAGAAGUAUCCUCUUUUUCUUGAUAUAAAAUAAGUAUAGGCAGAUCAAUACUUAAUAUUAGUUGAACAAGAGGACAAUUAAUCUCCUUUUAGUAAUUACAAGCUUCCACAUUUCAAACCUCCUGCCUUGCUGCUGUUAAUCUGGGGUAUCUCUUCUGGCAUGCCACUGAAGUCCUUGGUCCAAGCACAUCCAGUAAACUUUUUAGACACAUUUAAAUGCAUGUAUUUUACAAAGAUCUGCACUCCAGCUAGCUAAUGCAACAAUGUUUCACUGGAAAACAAAGAUUCAUCACUACAAUUGUCUUAUGGAAACAUGGUUUAACAAACUUUUGGCUGGACAGGAGCUUUAAAAAAAACUUUGUAUGUCAAAUGACUUGCUUUUGGCAACCUGCUAGGCUUCCUGCUAGCAGGCUUUUUUUUGGUGGAAAAAGUGAAAUGAAAUGUAGACAUUUUGAAAUUUCCCAUCAGAAGAAAAACUGUAAGUAGAUGUUGGAAUUUUUCACAGCAUGGGAAUAAUAAAUUUGAAUUAGUUGUACUUGGAAGCAAGCCUUUGCACAGCCAUUCCAGUCUCUCUUCCAUAUUCACUUGACUGUGGACCAGAAGUUUGGGCUACUUUAGUCCAAAGAGGAAUCUGACACCAAAUAUAGGCUAUAAUGUUGUUCUAGUCUGGGGAGACCUAACCAUUUCCAUGGUUCUACAACUUUUCACAGCAUUAUGUUUUUAUUCUUCCUUCUGGAUGAUGAGGCUUACUGUGCUCUGCAGAAGGGAUGGUGUUAGCAGCUUAUCCUGCUCAUCAUCAACACCCUUGCUGGUACCACCUCUUGAGGAAAUGAACAAGCUAAAGACGGCUGAAUUGGGAAUCAAAGCCUGAGGGCAGUGCAGGGGAUCUUUAUCCUCUUCUCCAAAGCAGCACAUGAUACCGAGUAAAAGAAGAUGGUGAGCCACCACCAAUUCUUCACACCUCCACAACACAGAAAACCGGUCAUUUGGCAAUAAGUGGCUGUACCUCAGACAAAACUCUGGCUGGUGCUUGCUGACUGCUGGGGCUUUCAGUGAGAGCUCUUCAUCCAACCCAGGGUAUGCUGUGCCCCUGGACAUGUUUUUGUUCCAGCUCACCUGUAAAACGCACAGCUUAACACCUAAGACUACUUUCAAUUCAGUUUUUACUACCUAAUUGUUGUAGCUGUUGUGUUCACAGGCUAGGGGAGGAGUUUCUUUCCUUUAAACUUUAAUACACUUCUUUAAAUAAAAUAUUGCCAUUGAUAGUAUCUACAGCAAACAUUUACAGAGUUAACAAACACAGAAACUACUGUCAUUCCACACAGAAACUUACAAGCAUAAAAGAUUUCUGUUUUAUUUGGAGAUGUACCAGAUUAUUUCCAGGGGCACUUAUGCAACACAAAAUCUUACAGAUAAUUUUUUUUCACCCUGUGCUUGUGCAAGGUGGUUUUUUUCCCCCCAUUCAUUUGCUUUUUUCUCUCCAAGUUAAGCAUGUACAAACAGAGGCCUAAACCAGAGCAAGCUAAAAGUACAUCAGAAAUUUGCUCUGCAUAGCAAGAUAUUUUGGUAAAUAUUACAUUGAUUAUACGUGGCCUUGCAUUUUGGUAUCUGAUACUGCAAGGGCUUGGUUUCCUCUUUCCAUAGGGCAGUGCCUGAGCACGGUGCUUCAUGGGUUUCCAGUGGCCUUUUUAGUAUGGCAAGACAUGUUUAGUAUGACAUGAGGAGUACAUUUGUGAGUCAGGCUUCUGUCAGGAGCCGUGGGGUGCCCAGAGGACCAUGGGUACAGGCUGGCUUGCAGCUGUGCUCACCCACACAGGCAGCACAUUGUCUUCAGGAGGGGCUGGAGCUGAAAUGAGGCUGAUGAUGCUGGUAGGUGCGAAAAACAGCAUCAGAGCAUAACCCCUCUUUAUGCCACUGACAGCAUUUGGUAUGAGGAUGUUUGAUGCAUCACCCCUUCAAGGGCAAGCAGGUCAGCACAAACCAACCAACCAACCCACCUUCUCCACAGGCUCUCCUGCUGUAAAACCACCCAAAUGCUGUACAAGGUGUGGGGAUUCAGCCAUGGGCCUGCAAAGCAUGAGAGGCCUCUUGUGCACAUGCAUUCACCCAAGCGUGCUUUCGGGUCUCCUGAGUAAAGGCACCCUGCACUACUCUUGGGGGAUGAAUACAUGUCUGCACAAAGGCUUGAAGCCUCAUCUUACCUUCUCAAGGCUUGAAAUUUAAAACGAUAAGGAAACGUAGAAUGGUAUUAUCUACCAUUUAAUUGCUCUAAGAGUAAUGCUGCUAACUUUAUGACAGGUGACAGAAACUGGUUUCUUUAUCGACAGAUUCCUGAUUCACAUCUGAGUAAUAUUUUAUUAAAGCUUGUUUAUUUUUCAAA
Molecule: long non-coding RNA, 5223 nt
Organism: Chiroxiphia lanceolata (lance-tailed manakin)
Lineage: Eukaryota; Metazoa; Chordata; Aves; Passeriformes; Pipridae
Exons: 2
Source: RefSeq, a predicted model, not a curated record